AGUCAGUCAGUUUCUGGGAGUCAAGGCCAGAGUUGUGAGCAAAACAUUAACUUUAAAAGAUUUUAUAAGGAUGGACCCAGACCAAAAGGUCUCUAUCAUACAUACUAAGGAUUCUUUACCAAUUCCUGAGAAAGAAAAAGUCUCUCAGUGUGAGGACAAGUUAGAAGACUAUAAUAAAGGCAGGCCCAACGAGGGCAAACGGCAUAAAUGCAAUGAAUGUUGGAAAAUGUUUACCCAGAACUCAGGCCUCAUUCAACAUCAGAGAAUUCACACUGGAGAAAAACGCUAUGAGUGUUAUCACUGUGGAAAAGCCUUCUAUUAGUGUUCAACCCUCACUGUGCAUGAAAGAGUCCACACUGGGGAGAAACCCAAUAUCUUUAACAAGUAUAAGAAAGCCUUUAGUAUGAGAAGACACUUGAUUGUAUACCAAAGAGUCCAAAAUGAAGAGGAGCCAAAUGACUGCAGUGAAUGUGGGAAAGUUUUCGGUGUGAGCUCAGCCCUCAUCAAACAUCAGAGCAUACAUACAGGUGAAAAGCCAUAUGCAUAUGAUAAGUAUGGGGAAGUCUUCAGUGUGAUCUCAGCACUCAUCAAACAUCAGAGAAUCCAUACUGGAGAAAAGCCAUAUAAGUGGAAGAAAUAUGGCAAAGCCUUCUAUGUGAACUCAGUGCUUAUUAGUCACCGGAGGGUUCACUCUGGAGAAAAGCCAUGUGAGUGUGGGAAUGUAGAAAAGCAUUCAGUCAGAGUCAAACCGAGUGAUCACCAGAGAAUCCAUACUGGAGAGAAAUGCUACGAGUUUGAUGAGUGUGGGGAAGGUUUCCGAAGAUACUCUAACCUUACCAAACACCAGAAAGGACAUAACAAAAGAAAAUGUCAGCAGUGAUGUACAUGGGAAAGGUAUUCUAGGUGCCUUUGGUUGCAUCAAAAGAAUAUGACC
This is an RNA transcript of Mus musculus (house mouse), 934 nucleotides long. It is a transcript of the gene named zinc finger protein 389, with no coding region annotated. The transcript is spliced from 2 exons. The record is from RefSeq and is marked provisional. Lineage: Eukaryota; Metazoa; Chordata; Mammalia; Rodentia; Muridae.